GUGAGGAAUUUUCCGCAAUGGGCGAAAGCCUGACGGAGCAAUGCCGCGUGAAGGAUGAAGGCCUAUGGGUUGUAAACUUCUUUUCUCAGAAAAGAAUUAUGACGGUAUCUGAGGAAUAAGCAUCGGCUAACUCUGUGCCAGCAGCCGCGGUAAGACAGAGGAUGCAAGCGUUAUCCGGAAUGAUUGGGCGUAAAGCGUCUGUAGGUUGUUUAAAAAGUAUUCUGUCAAAGAUUAGGGCUUAACCCUAGAUAGGCAGAAUAAACUUUUAAGCUAAGGUUUGGUAGAGGCAGGGGGAAUUCCCGGUGGAUCGGUGAAAUGCGUAGAUAUCGGGAGGAACACCAAAGGCGAAGGCACUCUGCUGGGCCAAUACUAACACUGAGAGACGAAAGCGAGGGGAGCAAAUGGGAUUAGAUACCCCUGUAGUCC
RNAcentral lists this ribosomal RNA (426 nucleotides) under uncultured bacterium. RNAcentral's name for it is "partial 16S ribosomal RNA". It matches the Rfam family "Bacterial small subunit ribosomal RNA", at positions 354 to 796 of the family's 1533-position model. The record is from RNAcentral.